GGCUUCGUGGUGUAGUGGUUAUCACAUCGGUUUCACACACCGAAGGUCUCCAGUUCGAACCUGGGCGGAGUCA
Non-coding RNA from Hypoxylon fragiforme, 73 nucleotides. The record is from the annotation of a RefSeq genome assembly. Lineage: Eukaryota; Fungi; Ascomycota; Sordariomycetes; Xylariales; Hypoxylaceae.